Molecule: ribosomal RNA, 460 nt
Filed under: uncultured bacterium
Lineage: Bacteria
Description: partial 16S ribosomal RNA
Rfam family: Bacterial small subunit ribosomal RNA
Source: RNAcentral
CCUACGGGUGGCAGCAGUGAGGAAUAUUGGUCAAUGGACGAGAGUCUGAACCAGCCAAGUCGCGUGAAGGAUGAAGGCCCUAUGGGUUGUAAACUUCUUUUAUAUGGGAAUAAAAUGCUCCACGUGUCGGGUUUUGUAUGUACCUUAUGAAUAAGGAUCGGCUAACUCCGUGCCAGCAGCCGCGGUAAUACGGAGGAUCCGAGCGUUAUCCGGAUUUAUUGGGUUUAAAGGGAGCGUAGGUGGAUUGUUAAGUCAGUUGUGAAAGUUUGCGGCGCAACCGUAGAAUUGCAGUUGAAACUGGCAGUCUUGAGUACAGUAGAGGUGGGCGGAAUUCGUGGUGUAGCGGUGAAAUGCUUAGAUAUCACGAAGAACUCCGAUUGCGAAGGCAGCUCACUGGACUGUAACUGACGCUGAGGCUCGAAAGUGUGGGGAUCAAACAGGAUUAGAUACCCUUGUAGUC